Molecule: small nuclear RNA, 333 nt
Filed under: Prolemur simus (greater bamboo lemur)
Lineage: Eukaryota; Metazoa; Chordata; Mammalia; Primates; Lemuridae
Description: 7SK RNA (ENSPSMG00000006812.1)
Rfam family: 7SK RNA
About the family: 7SK was discovered as an abundant small nuclear RNA in the mid-70s but a possible function has only recently been suggested.
Source: RNAcentral
GGAUGUGAGGGUGAUCUGGCUGCGACAUCUGUCACCCCAUUGAUCACCUGGGUUGAUUUGGCUGAUCUGGCUGGCUAGGUGGGUGUCCCCUUCCUCCCUUACCACUCCACGUGAGUCCCUCCCGAAGCUGCACGCUCUGUAUCGAAGAGGAAGACCUUCCCGGAUAGAGGAGGACAGUUCUUCAGUCAAGGGUAUAGAGUAGCUGCACUCCCCUGCUAGAACCUCCAAACAAGCUCUCAAAAAUAAAUAUUAAUGAUAAGGAUAUCACUAUCUUGGAAAUGUCUAAAAGCAGAAGCUAGUGAGUCAAGGUCAGAAAAUGUGAUCAGGUUAUUC